Ictalurus punctatus (channel catfish) is the source of this 436-nucleotide long non-coding RNA. NCBI's taxonomy places the organism in Eukaryota, Metazoa, Chordata, Actinopteri, Siluriformes, Ictaluridae. The record is from Ensembl.
UUCCUCAUGAAGGAUGUGCACUGCUCUUAUGAAAUCCCACUGUCGUCAGAAGAAAAAACGAUUUGUAAGUUGAAGAAACUCUUGCCAUCUGGCUCAGAGCUAAUGGAUGACCCUUCAGGGCUUCUUGUCUUGGCCUCUGCUGAACUACUGGUCUCCGAUGGACAGUGAGACAGUGAGAGCAGGGUUAAUUGCUUUUCACAACACAGGAUCAUCAAAAUGAUUCGACAUGCAGUGCUGGAUGUCAGCACCAUCAGAGUGGAUGGAGUAAUGGAACUGACUAUUCAGGGUCCCUGGGGUAGAGCAUCAAAAAGCCUGGACUGGAUUCUUUGUUUUGAGCUUCAGUCUGAUGUUUCUAGAUCAUUAGAAUAACAACUAAUCUCAAAUUGGAAGAGAAAAUUGAUGGAACUGAACUUUACAUCAAUAAAAUAUAUUGGAG